RNAcentral lists this unclassified non-coding RNA (326 nucleotides) under fungal sp. RNAcentral's name for it is "partial internal transcribed spacer region". The stretch from base 1 to 46 matches the Rfam family "Eukaryotic small subunit ribosomal RNA", at positions 1786 to 1831 of the family's 1831-position model. Lineage: Eukaryota; Fungi. The record is from RNAcentral.
AAGUCGUAACAAGGUUUCCGUAGGUGAACCUGCGGAAGGAUCAUUAAAAGUUAAGCGCCCAAAUGAAGCCAUUUACGGCCAAUUUUGCGGUAGCAAAACCAUGUGUUAUCGAAUUGUGUAUUGCUGGCGAGAAAAUAGGGCCACUUUUCAAAAGUGCCCUUGGCGUGUCGGAGGUGGGCCUUUUUGGGCUAUCCUCUGUACCGCGGCUCGCCAGCCAUAUAAACAAAGACAAAACAUGUUGACUGAUAUAUAUAUUGAUAGCCGUCUUGCUUUGCAAGUUUAGGCCAUAAUUAAUACAACUGUUAGCCACGGAUCACUCGGUUCUC